This 468-nucleotide ribosomal RNA is filed under the name uncultured bacterium. Its description in RNAcentral is "partial 16S ribosomal RNA". It matches the Rfam family "Bacterial small subunit ribosomal RNA", at positions 28 to 507 of the family's 1533-position model. The record is from RNAcentral.
GACGAACGCUGGCGGCGUGCUUAACACAUGCAAGUCGAACGGAAAGGCCCUGCUUUUGUGGGGUGCUCGAGUAGCGAACGGGUGAGUAACACGUGAGUAACCUGCCCUUGACUUUGGGAUAACUUCAGGAAACUGGGGCUAAUACCGGAUAGGAGCUCCUGCUGCAUGGUGGGGGUUGGAAAGUUUCGGCGGUUGGGGAUGGACUCGCGGCUUAUCAGCUUGUUGGUGGGGUAGUGGCUUACCAAGGCUUUGACGGGUAGCCAGCCUGAGAGGGUGACCGGCCACAUUGGGACUGAGAUACGGCCCAGACUCCUACGGGAGGCAGCAGUGGGGAAUAUUGCACAAUGGGCGGAAGCCUGAUGCAGCAACGCCGCGUGCGGGAUGACGGCCUUCGGGUUGUAAACCGCUUUCGCCUGUGACGAAGCGUGAGUGACGGUAAUGGGUAAAGAAGCACCGGCUAACUACGUG